Molecule: ribosomal RNA, 253 nt
Filed under: uncultured bacterium
Lineage: Bacteria
Description: partial 16S ribosomal RNA
Rfam family: Bacterial small subunit ribosomal RNA
Source: RNAcentral
UACAUGGGGUGCAAGCGUUGCUCGGAAUUAUUGGGCGUAAAGCGCGCGUAGGCGGUUACUCAAGUCGGAUGUGAAAGCCCUCGGCUUAACUGAGGAAGUGCACCCGAAACUGAGUAGCUAGAGUACUAAAGAGGGUCGCGGAAUUCCCGGUGUAGAGGUGAAAUUCGUAGAUAUCGGGAGGAAUACCAGUGGCGAAGGCGGCUUCCUGGCCUGUUCUUGACGCUGAGGCGCGAAAGCUAGGGUAGCAAACGGG